This is a non-coding RNA of Rattus norvegicus (Norway rat), 35 nucleotides long. NCBI's taxonomy places the organism in Eukaryota, Metazoa, Chordata, Mammalia, Rodentia, Muridae. The record is from Rfam.
CUGUGUCUUGCUUCAACAGUGUUUGAAUCGAACAG